ACCUACCUUUGAGAUGGGAACAACAACGUUCCAAGUAAUUGGGGCUACCGAAAGGGUUGCUAAUUCUCAAUAAAAAUGCUGACACUUUGGUGUCGGCAGUCAAAGAAAUGGAUCUGAAAAGGUCCAUUUGCUCAGAGAGGGGUCAAUGUCCUAUCAGCUAGUUGGUAGGGUAAUGGCCUACCAAGGCGAAGACGGGUAGCCGGCCUGAGAGGGUGGUCGGCCACACUGGGACUGAGACACUGCCCAGACUCCUACGGGAGGCUGCAGUCGAGAAUCUUUCGCAAUGCCCGAAAGGGUGACGAAGCGACGCCGCGUGUGGGAUGAAGGCCUUCGGGUUGUAAACCACUGUCGGGAGUUAAGAAUUGUAGGAAUGCUAAUAGUAUUUCUACUUGACUAAGGCUCCGGAGGAAGCCACGGCUAACUCUGUGCCAGCAGCCGCGGUAAUACAGAGGCGGCAAGCGUUGUUCGGAAUUAUUGGGCGUAAAGAGCAUGUAGGCGGCUAUGUAAGUCGGUUGUGAAAGCCUUCCGCUUAACGGAAGAAUGGCGGUCGAAACUGCAUGGCUUGAGUGCGGGAGGGGAGAGUGGAACUUCUGGUGGAGCGGUGAAAUGCGUAGAUAUCAGAAGGAACGUCGGCGGCGAAAGCGACUCUCUAGACCGUAACUGACGCUGAGUGUGCGAAAGCUAGGGGAGCAAACGGGAUUAGAUACCCCGGUAGUCCUAGCCGUAAACGAUGGGCAC
Molecule: ribosomal RNA, 738 nt
Filed under: Candidatus Brocadia sinica JPN1
Lineage: Bacteria; Pseudomonadati; Planctomycetota; Candidatus Brocadiia; Candidatus Brocadiales; Candidatus Brocadiaceae
Description: bacterial SSU rRNA
Rfam family: Bacterial small subunit ribosomal RNA
Source: RNAcentral